CGUGUAGGCGGACUCGCAAGUCGGUUGUGAGAUCCCUGGGCUCAACCUAGGAACUGCAUCCGAAACUGCUUGUCUUGAGUAAUGGAGAGGGUGGCGGAAUUCCCGGUGUAGAGGUGAAAUUCGUAGAUAUCGGGAGGAACAUCAGUGGCGAAGGCGGCCACCUGGACAUUUACUGACGCUGAGACGCGAAAGCGUGGGGAGCAAACA
RNAcentral lists this ribosomal RNA (207 nucleotides) under uncultured bacterium. RNAcentral's name for it is "partial 16S ribosomal RNA". It matches the Rfam family "Bacterial small subunit ribosomal RNA", at positions 568 to 774 of the family's 1533-position model. The record is from RNAcentral.